AUGAGCUUGGUGAGGAUCCCAUUUUUGGAAGAUAUGAUGGCAAGGGAUCACACAUUUGUUGAUGGGAGAUUGCUGUCUUUGCAAGACAGAGUAGCUGUCGCUCUUAGGGUACUGAACUCUGGUGACUCUCCGCUUACCAUAGGAUCCACUCUUGGUGUGAACGAGUCAACUGUCUCGCUGGUAACUAAGGUGUUUGUUGAGGCUAUGUGGGAGCGAGCAUUUCACCACAUCAGCUGGCCUGGAUCUGCUCAAAUGGAGAAGAUGAAGUGCAAGUUCGACAAGAUACACGGCUUGCCAAACUGUUGUGGCAUUGUACAAACAGCUCACAUCACAUUUGGAUCACAAAGCUGUGACCGUGAGGAGAAUUUGUUCGUUAGGAAUGACACCGACGUCGCUGAGGAUCACUACUGUAAACUUUUUCAAAAGACAGUUAAUCUGACGCACCUAGCAUUUAGCAAUGUACAUAAAAGAAUAACAUCCAGUAGCAUCAUAUGGAACACAGAACAUCUUAAAAGAAUAGCAGUUGAGCUAGGAGAUGAGAUCAUCGUCACUGCUUCAUCUGGCUAUGUCGACGCGCGUCUGCGUCGUGUCCUUGCUGAAAGUGGUGGACUGAAGCAGGGGGCAGGCCCCCGCCAUGGUUCGGCCACCCCCAUGGAUGUUUUGGGGGGGCUACUGAAUCCAUCGAUUGGAUCAAACAAUGUGCCUGUAGCUGCAUCUGGAGUUGGGCAACCAAGCCCAAUGACUACUCCUGAUGUUCCUACUCCAAACUCCAAAACCGUGUUCUCGGUAAAGUUUGAAGGCCGCUUGGUGGCCGCUUGUGGGUUGGUCUUCUCCGAGUGCCUCUGGCACUUCGGAAACCUGCAAAUUGCAGUAGUGCAACAAGUUGAAUGUCCUCCUGGCAUGAAUACACAAGAGCGUAUCCCGUCCAUCUCAAAGGUUGGUGAGAGGAGCAGCCCAGCGCCGGCGACCGGGCGGGGCCGCUGUCAUUUGGCGUGCACACGAGGAAAAAGCAUAUAUUGGCAUCAAGGAAAAGUUAAGUCCAAUCCAAUUCGAUACCCUCUUCAGCUCAGCUGCUUUGCUUUGUCAAAUAAUCUACUCCUCCAUGGAAAAGGAAAAGAAGCUGCUUUGCUUUGCUUUGCUUGCUCCAUCGAUGGGAAUGUGAUGCUCCGCUUUGCUUUGCUUGCCCCGGUCGCCGCUGCCAUCCGCUGA
Molecule: ribosomal RNA, 1209 nt
Filed under: Triticum aestivum (bread wheat)
Lineage: Eukaryota; Viridiplantae; Streptophyta; Magnoliopsida; Poales; Poaceae
Description: partial small subunit ribosomal RNA
Source: RNAcentral